RNA transcript from Suricata suricatta (meerkat), 3856 nucleotides. It is a transcript of the gene named solute carrier family 9 member A8, with no coding region annotated. The record is from RefSeq and is a predicted model, not a curated record. The transcript has 19 exons. Lineage: Eukaryota; Metazoa; Chordata; Mammalia; Carnivora; Herpestidae.
CUGGCCAGUCAUGCACCCUAAGUGUGACUCGCAUGGUCCUCCCACCUUCAGGCCACAGAGACGAAGGGACAGAAGGGCCGCACUCGCGCGGCCGAGGCCCCGCCCCCAGCUCGUCGGCCAGCCCGCGCCUCCAGCGGAAGCCGGAAGCAAAAGCAGUCCCUGCUAGCCCCCGGCUCCGAACUCGGUGGUCCUGGAGGCUCCGCAGGAUGGGGGAGAAGAUGGCGGAAGAGGAGCCCUGGGCACAUAGUAGUGAAGGAGGCCGAACAGGAGCCGCCCUCAGGUUCCCGAACACAACUCACGAAGGUUUCAAUGUCACCCUCCACACCACCCUGGUCGUCACGACGAAGCUGGUGCUCCCUACCCCGGCCAAGCCCAUUCUCCCCGUGCAGACGGGGGAGCAGGCUCAGCAGGAGGAACAGUCCAGCGGCAUGACCAUUUUCUUCAGCCUCCUCGUCCUAGCUAUCUGCAUCAUAUUGGUGCAUUUACUGAUCCGAUACAGAUUACAUUUCUUGCCAGAGAGCGUUGCCGUUGUUUCUUUAGGUAUUCUCAUGGGAGCAGUUAUAAAAAUUAUAGAGUUUAAAAAACUGGCAAAUUGGAAGGAAGAAGAAAUGUUUCGUCCAAAUAUGUUUUUCCUCCUGCUGCUUCCUCCUAUUAUAUUUGAGUCAGGAUAUUCAUUACACAAGGGUAACUUCUUUCAGAAUAUUGGUUCCAUCACCCUGUUUGCUGUCUUCGGUACGGCAAUUUCCGCUUUUGUAGUAGGUGGAGGAAUUUAUUUUCUGGGUCAGGCUGAUGUAAUCUCUAAACUCAACAUGACAGACAGCUUUGCGUUUGGCUCCCUGAUUUCUGCGGUCGAUCCGGUGGCCACUAUUGCUAUUUUCAACGCCCUUCACGUGGACCCGGUGCUCAACAUGCUGGUUUUUGGGGAGAGUAUUCUCAACGACGCCGUCUCCAUUGUCCUGACCAACACAGCUGAAGGUUUAACAAGGAAAAAUAUGUCAGACGUCAGUGGGUGGCAAACAUUUUUACAAGCCCUUGGCUACUUCCUCAAAAUGUUCUUUGGCUCAGCGGCACUCGGCACCCUCACUGGCUUAAUCUCUGCACUAGUGCUGAAGCACAUUGACUUGAGGAAAACGCCUUCCUUGGAGUUCGGCAUGAUGAUCAUUUUUGCUUAUCUUCCGUACGGGCUCGCCGAAGGAAUCUCGCUCUCGGGCAUCAUGGCCAUCCUGUUCUCGGGCAUCGUGAUGUCCCACUACACGCACCAUAACCUGUCCCCGGUCACCCAGAUCCUCAUGCAGCAGACCCUGCGGACCGUGGCCUUCCUAUGCGAAACAUGUGUGUUUGCAUUUCUUGGCCUGUCCAUUUUUAGUUUCCCUCACAAGUUUGAAAUUUCCUUUGUCAUCUGGUGCAUAGUCCUUGUACUGUUUGGCAGAGCGGUGAACAUUUUCCCUCUUUCCUACCUCCUGAAUUUCUUCCGUGAUCAUAAAAUCACACCGAAGAUGAUGUUCAUCAUGUGGUUUAGUGGCCUGCGGGGCGCCAUCCCCUACGCGCUGAGCCUGCACCUGGACCUGGAGCCCAUGGAGAAGCGGCAGCUCAUCGGCACCACCACCAUCGUCAUCGUGCUCUUCACCAUCCUGCUGCUGGGCGGCAGCACCAUGCCCCUCAUCCGCCUGGUGGACAUCGAGGACGCCAAGGCGCGCCGCAGGAGCAAGAAGGACGUCAACCUCAGCAAGACGGAGAAGAUGGGCAACGCCAUUGAGUCGGAGCACCUGUCCGAGCUCACAGAGGAGGAGUAUGAAGCCCACUACGUCAGGCGGCAGGACCUCAAAGGCUUCGUGUGGCUGGACGCCAAGUACCUGAACCCCUUCUUCACGCGGCGGCUGACGCAGGAGCUGCCGUCCCAGACGGUCAUCACUGUAGCUGCGUCUCAUCUUCCCGACAUCGUGUGUCAUGGCUGCAGCCGCCCUUGGACUAGACAGCUGGGGAGACUGAGGCCCAGAGAGGACCUCCACCAUGGGCGCAUCCAGAUGAAAACCCUCACCAACAAGUGGUACGAGGAGGUGCGCCAGGGCCCCUCCGGCUCCGAGGACGAUGAGCAGGAACUGCUGUGACGGAGCAGGGCCCCCCACAGCCCCUGGGACAGACACUCGGCCAGGGCCCCCGGUGCCGCUCACACUGGGCAGCCCCCUCAGGGUAGACAGAAGCAGGUCACGUGAAGCGAAGGCCAUGGUCCUCUUAAACCCGGCGUCCCUGGCCCUCGGAGCCACAGGCCACCUCCCCAGGCCACAACAAGCGGGACCUCUGCUCUCGGUGUUGCCCCGGAGCCCACAGAUGGGAGGGACCGCCUGUCCAGGUAAAUUCUCCUUCUGCUUCUGCAGCCAGAGAGACACGUCAUCCGUUGAGCUGCGGUGCGGGCGGAGAGAAGGGGCGCCGUGGAGCCCGGCCGGGACGGGGGGCGGCCAGGGAGCGCCCGCUUCCGGCUUCUGCCUCCCAGCCCCUGCCUGCGUCCCAGGAGCACCUGCCGCGCCCCGGAUGGGUGUCUGUUCUAGCAGGGCGAGGAGCCUGCCAUGUCACCUUGGUCAUCGAGGCGCCUCCGGCCUCAGCAGCAGCAAUUCUGACCAGAAGUGGUGGGUUCCGAAAUCUGGAAAAUGUCACACUCUCCCUUGUGAUGUUGCUCACGCUCCUCGAGAAGGAAAAACUGAGUGAAAACCCCUUUACCUCUGGUUGGCACCUCAUAGGCUGUCUCCCUGGGUGGCAGGCGGCCACUGCCCUUCUCUGGGAAUGCUAAGGCGCACCCGUUUCUACUGCUCCUGGACGUGUAGGAAACCAAAUUGGAACUGUUCCCAAAACAGCAGCCAGAAUCACUGAGAAGCUGCCGUGCCAGGAACCCGUCUCCAAGGCCCUGGGCCAUGGGUUUGACAUGACAGCACCCCUGUGCGGGGAGGACUUCACCUGAGGCAGAGCCGCGUGGCCAUGCUCCCUCCCAUUUAGGUUCCUGCUGUUGCUCCCGCAGAUGGAGUCAGACGUUCAGGAACUUCUGUGGCUCUCGGCCACACGACAGAAGAAGGAAGAUGUCACAGCUUCCUGUGGGCCGCCCCAUUUUUUCACUCUUUCCCACCCCAGCCAACAUGGUCCUGGGGGAGAGGGGGAUACUUGGCCUUCCUCACCAGUGAGCCGGCCUCCCAGGCUGCUCUUGCCGACGGGCGCACAUGGCUUUGGGGUGAAGGCCCCACAUGCCCGUAGGAGCAGCCCGCGGGAGGCAGGCCGCGUGACUGGCCGGGGCCAUGCAGAUGGGCGCUCACAAGGGAAGGGCCGCCUGUCCCCUCCGUGGGCCUGCGCUCCCAGGAGCCUGCCGACCCCGUGAGCACAUCCCUGCGCUCCCUCCUGGAAGCCUCAGGAACCGAGACAAGCCCGAAGGGUGCCAACCCCAGGCUUUAUUUGAUGUUUUCUCCAGUACAGGCCGGGCCAAGCUUGAGUUGUUCUCAAGGUUAAUCAAAAUUUUGAAUUCUUGUAACUUUCUUUGUAAAAAUGAAGGAAUUGUUAAAGUGCUGCUUUUUCAUUUGUUCUGAGACCUUGGAAGGUGAGGCUUACUCUUUGUCCGACGCCGUGUAAGUUGUAAGAGGGGCAUGUUAGGUCCUGGGUCCUGGGCAUGUUAGGUCCUGGGUCCUGAGAAAGGCUUUGCUGCUCUUGAUGGGGCCUCGGGCAGGGGAGGGGAAGGCAGGUCCGAGGCAGGGGUGCCUGGCGCUGCUGUGCAGCACCCCUGCCUCAUCUCACUGGACUCGUGAAAGAGUCUAGAAAUGGAUGGAAGACACGCAUGUCACUGGAUACGUACGUAGGAAUAAAAAUGACUGCUGCUGAA